ACGAAGCGUCGAUUUCAACAUGGGAAGAGUUCCAGGCCGAGCUGCGACGCACCUUUGCCAACCAGCAGCGACGUCAGUGGGCGAAAGAACUUUUGAGAAUUGAGAUACCGCCUCCCCGCACAAGGCGGCCUGGGAUGCGGACAAGGAGCGCAUCUACCUCGACAAGAUCCCUAAUGCUCGCCGGAACAGCAGCACUUGCCAAGCCCCACGUAGCCCCGUCGUCCUUCUCUUCUGGCUCUGCACCAGCUAGUCCCUUCACGUGCGGCUACCACCGUAGUCACCUGCAGCUCCCUUGUUACAACUGUCACACUCCUCCCCCUCAACUCACAGUGUCAAUCAAGGAGAGUACCGUAUCGGAGGUCUGCGCUGUCUAGUUGUACGUCUCAAAGUGUAAUUUCUCACAGGUUCGGCCUGCACAUCCUGUCCUGAGCGUUCCCGCACCGCACUCGGAGUCUGUAUAUCGGCUCUAGACACACAAGAACCACCCAUGUCACGCACACGCUCACUAGGUGCCGCCCUCUUCCAGCAUCACUCGUGCCGACGAUGCACUGGUGGGAUGCUCAGCUAUUGCAGGGACCCAACGAUCUCCUGGUCUGAAAUUUCGAGCCCAGACACGAUCACCAGGCAGUGGUAAUCCGUCUCUUCUUGCAGAUUUGUCCGCUCGCUCCUUCUGCUGUAGCUGCUUGAACCCUACUCUGACUCGGAGAUCUGGGUGCAGCAGGUCCAGGGGAGUCUUUAGGCGCUGCCCCAUCAACAA
Long non-coding RNA from Ixodes scapularis (black-legged tick), 757 nucleotides. RefSeq lists it as uncharacterized. The record is from RefSeq and is a predicted model, not a curated record. The transcript has 3 exons. Lineage: Eukaryota; Metazoa; Arthropoda; Arachnida; Ixodida; Ixodidae.